This 62-nucleotide transfer RNA is filed under the name Mordellochroa milleri. RNAcentral's name for it is "tRNA-Arg". Lineage: Eukaryota; Metazoa; Arthropoda; Insecta; Coleoptera; Mordellidae. The record is from RNAcentral.
AAAUAAGAAGCAAAUUAUGCGCUUAGUUUCGACCUAAGAAUUUGAUCAAUGAUCCUUGUUUA